RNAcentral lists this ribosomal RNA (492 nucleotides) under uncultured bacterium. RNAcentral describes it as "bacterial SSU rRNA". It matches the Rfam family "Bacterial small subunit ribosomal RNA", at positions 28 to 507 of the family's 1533-position model. The record is from RNAcentral.
GAUGAACGCUAGCUACAGGCUUAACACAUGCAAGUCGAGGGGAAACGACAUCGAAAGCUUGCUUUUGAUGGGCGUCGACCGGCGCACGGGUGAGUAACGCGUAUCCAACCUGCCCACCACUUGGGGAUAACCUUGCGAAAGUAAGACUAAUACCCGAUGAUAUCCCUAGAAGACAUCUGAAAGGGAUUAAAGAUUUAUCGGUGAUGGAUGGGGAUGCGUCUGAUUAGCUUGUUGGCGGGGUAACGGCCCACCAAGGCAACGAUCAGUAGGGGUUCUGAGAGGAAGGUCCCCCACAUUGGAACUGAGACACGGUCCAAACUCCUACGGGAGGCAGCAGUGAGGAAUAUUGGUCAAUGGGCGAGAGCCUGAACCAGCCAAGUAGCGUGCAGGAUGACGGCCCUAUGGGUUGUAAACUGCUUUUAUAAGGGAAUAAAGUGAGCCUCGUGAGGCUUUUUGCAUGUACCUUAUGAAUAAGGACCGGCUAAUUCCGUG